UUAUUUUUUUUAUACGCGAAGUAAAUGUAUUCUUAGGAGGUGGUAGGAAAGAUUCAGGUUGUGUAGGGUCAUUAAAAUCGCGCAAAGGUAUCUCAAUGUGAUUUACGUUUGUACCUUGCUUAUUAAGUUGGUUGGCCUUACUUUCACUUCCUAAAGGACUAUUCUCUAUUCUUGUAUCAGCAAGGAAUGGAUUGGUAGAAUUUUGGCCUGAAGAAGAUAUAUAUUGGCUUUCAGAGCCAAAAAUAUCUUCGAAUUCAUCUUCACCCAGAAAAGGAUUGUCUAACGUUCUACCAACCAUCGAUUCUCCGGCAAAUUCAUCCUCGUCUUCAUCUCGUGAUAUCCUUUUAGCAUUUUGCUUAUUAUCUACAUCUCGGGCCAUUGAUAUUUACAAGAUAUUAACAAUGCAAAUGAUAUGCGCAGAAAAAGCAAAGAUAGGACGU
Schizosaccharomyces pombe (fission yeast) is the source of this 440-nucleotide non-coding RNA. The record is from the annotation of a GenBank genome assembly. NCBI's taxonomy places the organism in Eukaryota, Fungi, Ascomycota, Schizosaccharomycetes, Schizosaccharomycetales, Schizosaccharomycetaceae.